This 64-nucleotide transfer RNA is filed under the name Dicranocephalus alticolus. RNAcentral describes it as "tRNA-Arg". Lineage: Eukaryota; Metazoa; Arthropoda; Insecta; Hemiptera; Stenocephalidae. The record is from RNAcentral.
AAGUAAUGAAGUAAUAAUUACAUUUAGUUUCGACCUAAAAUUAGAGUUUUAUACUCCUUGCUUA